RNAcentral lists this ribosomal RNA (256 nucleotides) under uncultured bacterium. Its description in RNAcentral is "partial 16S ribosomal RNA". It matches the Rfam family "Bacterial small subunit ribosomal RNA", at positions 79 to 334 of the family's 1533-position model. The record is from RNAcentral.
UCAAACCAAAGCUGGCGACCGGCGCACGGGUGGGUAACACGUAUCCAACCUGCCUCAUACUCGGGGAUAGCCUUUCGAAAGAAAGAUUAAUAUCCGAUAGCAUAUAUUUCCCGCAUGGGUUUUAUAUUAAAGAAAUUCGGUAUGAGAUGGGGAUGCGUUCCAUUAGUUUGUUGGGGGGGUAACGGCCCACCAAGACUACGAUGGAUAGGGGUUCUGAGAGGAAGGUCCCCCACAUUGGAACUGAGACACGGUCCAA